This is a non-coding RNA of Oryza sativa Japonica Group (Japanese rice), 2322 nucleotides long. The record is from RefSeq and is a predicted model, not a curated record. Lineage: Eukaryota; Viridiplantae; Streptophyta; Magnoliopsida; Poales; Poaceae.
GUCUUUUCUGCUGCUGCUGCUUUCUUUUCGGUGUGAGGAUUAAGUGCCUCUUCUGGUGUAUUGCAGUGGCAAGAAUGUGGGCUGUAGGUGGAGAAUUCAUACCACUCUUUUGAGUGAUCAAGUCAUAGUGAAGAUCACAAGGAACCCAUACGAUCAUGAGAAUUGUCAAAGCACUAGGAGGGCAGGCACUUGUGUAGGAGUGACACAGUUUUGGGUCUGUGAACAAGUGCUUGAUUGGUUGAAGGAAGAUGAAACAUUGGGUGCCAAAGAGCUGAGGAGGAGGUUGAAGGAGAGCCACAAAGUUGAGGUAACCUACAGGAAAGUUUAUCUAGGUAGGCAACGUGCUAUGGAUAAACUUUAUGGUCCUUGGUCCUGCAGUUUUGACAACCUGUAUAGAUUUAAGGCUCAGAUAGAGGAUACUAAUCCUGGAUCCUUUGUUGUAAUUGAUCACCAUACCAUCAACAACAAAAUAAGGUUUAAUAGGCUGUUUUUUGCUUUGAAAGCUUGUGUUGAUGGUUUCCUAUGAGGUUGUAGGCCAUAUCUUGCAGUAGAUAGUACAUUUUUAAAUGGAAGGUUCAGGGGCCGGUUGUGUGUAGCUUGUGCAGUUGAUGGUCACAAUUGGAUGUACCCAGUAGCUAUUGGUGUCAUUGACUCAGAAACAAAUGAGAAUUGGGAGUGGUUUAUGAAUAGGUUGAAAGAAGCUAUAGGCAACCCAGUUGGGCUUACAUUCAGCACUGAUUGUGGGCAAGCAGUGAUGUAUGGGGUGAGUGUGGUUUUUUCAUAUGCUAAACAUAGAGAGUGUAUGUACCAUCUAGUACAGAAUUUCAAGAAGAGACAUAGUGGACAAAUUUUUGAUGAUCACCUGUGGGCAUCUGCAUAUUCUUGGAGUCCUUGCAUGUUUGAUAAACAUUAUCAAGCCAUGGCUGUAGCCAAACCAGAGGCUAUGAAAUAUCUUCAGGAAAAUCACAGGAAAUUGUGGACCAGGAGCCAAUUUUCCACUUUGUCAAAAGUGGAUUAUGUUACCAAUAACUUCGCUGAGGCAUUCAAUAAAUGGGUAAAGGAUCAGAAGGGCCUGCAUCUGGAUGACUUGAUGGAUACCAUUAGACAGAUGAUCUUGAUUAAAUGGAAUAAUUGAAAAAGGGUUGCCGAAAAGUUUGAAGGAAAGAUCUUGCCUCAUAUAGUGCAGAAGUUGAGAGGAGCUAGCUAUAACCUUGACAUUGAAGUAAUCACAAGCUCACCUGAUGGCAUUGCAGAAGUUUGUGCUAAGGGAAAUUCUGCUAGUACCUUCAGGUUUGUAGUGAACAUAAAAGAGAGGACAUGCUCUUGCAGAGCUUGGCAAUGGUCAGGAAUACCAUGCAAACAUGCCAUUGCCUACAUCACAUCAAUCCCUGGGGCCAAUCUUGAAGACUAUGUGGAUGAGUGCUAUUCAAUUGAGAAAUUCAAAAUUGCAUAUGAAGGUUCUGUGCCCUCUAUUCCUGACAAGUCCAUGUGGUCCAAACCCACCCAUGGCUUCUUCAUGCAUCCUUCAUUGCUUAAGUCAACUGCAGGAGGAAGAAGGAAGAACAUGAUGAAAUCAGCUUUGGAGGGAGGUAGUAGUAGGAAGAAAUUAGGCACUAAGGGAGGUACUGGCAAAAGGCAACAUAAGUGCCCAAUAUGCCACUAGUUAGGGCACCAUUGGUACACAUGUAAGAAAGGCAAUCCAGAUGACAUAGCUGCAUAUGAGGCUGAGAGGGGUCCACCAAAAAAAAGGCUGAAGAAAGCAUCUUCCAGUAACACAGUGACUAGCAUUGUUGUGGCCACUCCUGGAUCAGGCAUGGUAUUCCCACACAAUGAGGUGGUGGCCAGUGCUACACAGAAGCCAAAGAGAGUUAAAAACGCCGCCAAAAAGAAGGGGCCACCAACAUCAGCAAGUACUGACAAUUCGGUGACGAGCAGGUCUGUAACUAGAUCCAAUAACCCCUUUGCUCUCCAAAUUGAACACCCUCCAGUUGUUCAUGACGACAUUGCAUCCUAUGAAGUCUCUCCACGGACAGUGGAGACACCAAGGAAGAAGCAAGCCAUCAAGAAGAUUUUUCCCACAUUUUCCCAAUUUUUCCCAGAUUUUUAAACAUUUUUAAAAUUUAUUCUCACUUUUUUCUGAUUUUUACCUUUUUUAAAAAAUUAUUUUCCAUUUUUUGAUUUUUAACGCCUUUUCUAAAUUAUUUUUCACUUUUCUGAUUUUUUAAACCCAUUAUUGUACACAAGGACAAAACUGUCUUUACAGAGCCCCUAACACCUCUGUUAUGUCUCCAUCCAUCUAAAAUAGCAUACGGGUCAACGAAA